GUGGGGAAUAUUGCGCAAUGGGGGAAACCCUGACGCAGCGACGCCGUGUGAGGGAAGAAGGCUUUCGGGUCGUAAACCUCUGUCAGAAAGGAAGAACCUCCCAUAUCCGAAUAGGGUGUGGGACUGACGGUACUUUCAAAGGAAGCACCGGCUAACUCCGUGCCAGCAGCCGCGGUAAUACGGAGGGUGCUAGCGUUAAUCGGAAUCACUGGGCGUAAAGCGCGCGUAGGCCGCUUUGUAAGUCGGACGUGAAAGCCCUCGGCUCAACCGGGGAACUGCGUUCGAUACUGCGAGGCUUGAGUCCUGGAGAGGGUGGCGGAAUUCCGGGUGUAGGAGUGAAAUCCGUAGAUAUCCGGAGGAACACCGGUGGCGAAGGCGGCCACCUGGACAGGUACUGACGCUGUGGCGCGAAAGCGUGGGGAGCAAACAGGAUUAGAUACCCCGGUAGUCC
This 451-nucleotide ribosomal RNA is filed under the name uncultured bacterium. Its description in RNAcentral is "partial 16S ribosomal RNA". It matches the Rfam family "Bacterial small subunit ribosomal RNA", at positions 354 to 796 of the family's 1533-position model. The record is from RNAcentral.